ACAAAUCAAUUUGGUUGUGUAUGUGUGGAUGCUUGAUGUGUAUAGUGUUAUGCGCUAUAUAUAUCUAGUGUCUUCAUACACACACCUAACAUUUGUGCUCCAGGCAUUUCGUCUGGGUGCAAUUAUAUAUAUUCAUUAUUGUCAGUUGUUUUGUCUAUUUUAAAUUUAUAUC
RNAcentral lists this unclassified non-coding RNA (172 nucleotides) under uncultured fungus. RNAcentral's name for it is "sequence contains ITS1". The record is from RNAcentral. Lineage: Eukaryota; Fungi.